RNAcentral lists this microRNA precursor (67 nucleotides) under Bombyx mori (domestic silkworm). Its description in RNAcentral is "mir-2774 microRNA precursor family". It matches the Rfam family "mir-2774 microRNA precursor family". The record is from Rfam by way of RNAcentral. Lineage: Eukaryota; Metazoa; Arthropoda; Insecta; Lepidoptera; Bombycidae.
ACAACAAUCGGGCCGUCGGUCUACCGAGCAAUAUCACCUGCUCGGUGGAAGACCUACCAUUUUUCGU